CGCCACAGCAGCUGUUCCACUAUUACACUACACUAUCACUGCUACAGCGUCUGUAAUUUUUCAUCAUCAGCACGCUCCCCCAAACUCCCUCUGAUCUGCAGUUCAUUACCGAGUGCUCAUUCGGUGCCUUGGAGCAACUGGCUCAAUGUUCUUCUCCCCGCUGCUCCAGUGCCCUCAAUACCAAGCCCUCACUUUAAAAGUGUCUGACAAAACGCGCAGCUUGGCGCAGCUCACUUGGACAGCGGGGAUAUUACGCGGAGCAAAAAGAAAGUGUCUGACAGCCAGGCGGCUACCUCGAGGGAACUGUGCUCAGACGAACACAGAAUCCCUAACCACAGGGUGAUCCAGGUUCCAUGCAACUUCCCCGGUCCAGGUUAAAUACCACCUGUGAUGAGCACCACGGCGAGCACGUAACAGAACGCGCUUAAGCGGGGAGACCGGUGUCAUCCCCUGGCUGGACGCCGGGGCAGGUUGCGCGUAUCAGCCUGCGUUAACAGGCAUGUGAGUGCACACCGACAUUCCUUCAGGAGCCUGGAAGUGCGUCGCUCGAGAAGCGACGCUCGCAGCUACACCUCCGCGAGAAACUCGAGACUACGGCAGCACAUGCAAGAGGCAAUAAAAAAGUGCCAAUUAAAAGCGAGACAGACCUUGGGAGAGCAAGAGGCAUGCUACUGCAGGCAGCUUCUGCAGAAUGAUGAGACGCACAAGGAGAAGGACCUACUGUGUUUCUCUGGCAGAACUCCCAGCUCCAUACUCCUCGAGUCUUCCAAAUCCAGGCAAAGACCCCUAACAAGCACGCUGUCGGCAACAGCAGGAGGACGAAUCUUCUUCAUGAGGGAGGAACUUUUGAGACAAGCUCGACGGAGCUCGCGUCUUCAUGUGGGAACUCGGGAGAGCACAGAAGAAAGCAGAAAGCUCAGGCUAUGUGGAGUCCAUUGGAAAUCAGCCGCCUGAAGCAUCAGCUCAAAGACAAUUUGUCCAAAUGUUUGCAUGUGUGCCCACAUGUGAGUGUGGCUCACAGUUCUCUCUAGAUGGGUGUCCUCUAUGGCCUCUAUAUACUGCUUUUGAGUUUGUGUCCAUGCAGAAUAAAUUCAUGCUGUGCAGCAUACGUUCUCUCAA
Long non-coding RNA from Electrophorus electricus (electric eel), 1119 nucleotides. RefSeq lists it as uncharacterized. The record is from RefSeq and is a predicted model, not a curated record. NCBI's taxonomy places the organism in Eukaryota, Metazoa, Chordata, Actinopteri, Gymnotiformes, Gymnotidae.